This 406-nucleotide ribosomal RNA is filed under the name uncultured bacterium. RNAcentral describes it as "partial 16S ribosomal RNA". It matches the Rfam family "Bacterial small subunit ribosomal RNA", at positions 30 to 526 of the family's 1533-position model. The record is from RNAcentral.
AUUGAACGCUGGCGGCGGGCCUAACACAUGCAAGUCGGGCGAGCGGCGGACGGGUGAGUAACACGUAUCCAAACUGCCCUUUACUCGGGGACAGCCUUUCGAAAGAAAGAUUAAUACCCGAUAUCAAGGAUGGGGAUGGGUUCCAUUAGGUUGUUGGUAAGGUAACAGCUCCCCAAGCCUUCGAUGGAGAGGGGUUCGGAGAGGAAGGUCCACGCCAUUGGAACUGUGACACGGUCCAAACUCCUACGAGACGCAGCAGUGGGGAGUAUAUGUUAAUGGACGCUAUCCUGAACCAGCCAAGUAGCGGGAAGGAUGAAGGCUUAUGGGUCGUAAACUACUUGUAUAUAAGAAUAGGUAUUAUAUGAAUAAGGAUCGGCUAACUCCGUGCCAGCAGCCGCGGUAAUUC